CCCUUAGAUGUUCUGGGCCGCACGCGCGCUACACUGACGGAUUCAACGAGCCUACAACCUUGGCCGAAAGGUCUGGGUAAUCUCCAAAAUCCGUCGUGAUGGGGAUAGAUUAUUGCAAUUAUUAAUCUUCAACGAGGAAUGCCUAGUAAGCGCAAGUCAUCAGCUUGCGUUGAUUACGUCCCUGCCCUUUGUACACACCGCCCGUCGCUCCUACCGAUUGAAUGGUCCGGUGAAGCGUUUGGACUAUGGUUUUCUGAUGGUCCGCCGUUGGAUUACCGUGGGAAGUUCGUUAAACCUUAUCAUUUAGAGGAAGGAGAAGUCGUAACA
RNAcentral lists this ribosomal RNA (327 nucleotides) under uncultured eukaryote. RNAcentral describes it as "partial 18S ribosomal RNA". It matches the Rfam family "Eukaryotic small subunit ribosomal RNA", at positions 1470 to 1796 of the family's 1831-position model. The record is from RNAcentral.